Molecule: ribosomal RNA, 459 nt
Filed under: uncultured Erysipelothrix sp.
Lineage: Bacteria; Bacillati; Bacillota; Erysipelotrichia; Erysipelotrichales; Erysipelotrichaceae
Description: bacterial SSU rRNA
Rfam family: Bacterial small subunit ribosomal RNA
Source: RNAcentral
ACAAGCGGUGGAGCGAUGUGGUUUAAUUCGAAGCAACGCGAAGAACCUUACCAGGUCUUGACAUCCCGAUGCUAUUUCUAGAGAUAGAAAGUUACUUCGGUACAUCGGUGACAGGUGGUGGCAUGGUUGUCGUCAGCUCGUGUCGUGAGAUGUUGGGUUAAGUCCCGCAACGAGCGCAACCCCUAUUGUUAGUUGCCAUCAUUCAGUUGGGGACUCUAGAGAGACUGCCGGUGAUAAACCGGAGGAAGGUGGGGGAUGACGUCAAAUCAUCAUGCCCCUUAUGGCCUGGGCUACAAACGUAAUACAAUGGCGUAUACAAAGGGAUGCGAAAGGGCGACCUGGAGCAAAACUCACAAAGUACGUCUCAGUUCAGAUUGGAGUCUGCAACUCGACUCCAUGAAGGCGGAAUCGCUAGUAAUCGCGGAUCAGCAUGCCGCGGUGAAUACGUUCUCGGGGUUU